CAGUCGCCACGGGAAUACGUAGGUGGCAAGCGUUAUCCGGAAUUAUUGGGCGUAAAGCGCGCGUAGGCGGUUUUUUAAGUCUGAUGUGAAAGCCCACGGCUCAACCGUGGAGGGUCAUUGGAAACUGGAAAACUUGAGUGCAGAAGAGGAAAGUGGAAUUCCAUGUGUAGCGGUGAAAUGCGCAGAGAUAUGGAGGAACACCAGUGGCGAAGGCGACUUUCUGGUCUGUAACUGACGCUGAUGUGCGAAAGCGUGGGGAUCAAACAGGAUUAGAUACCCGAGUAGUCCCUGUCUCUUAUAC
RNAcentral lists this ribosomal RNA (301 nucleotides) under uncultured bacterium. RNAcentral describes it as "partial 16S ribosomal RNA". It matches the Rfam family "Bacterial small subunit ribosomal RNA", at positions 509 to 807 of the family's 1533-position model. The record is from RNAcentral.